AAGGCGGCCGCGAAGGCCACGGAACAGAGGCGGAGAAACGCCGAACGGCGGCGGGAGGGAAAACGCCUGCGCCGAGCGAAGAGGCGGGUCCCGAGUUUCUGGUGACUUUAAACUGGGCCACUAGCCUCAAAGAAAGCAAUCAAUGCAUUUUGAUCAUAACUGUCCAGAAUCUCCAGUAAAAGAGCUCAACAAAGUGCUAUUAUUUCCGACCCCCAAAAAAGAAAACUGAAGCUCAGAGAGUUAAAUAAUCC
Molecule: long non-coding RNA, 251 nt
Organism: Herpailurus yagouaroundi (jaguarundi)
Lineage: Eukaryota; Metazoa; Chordata; Mammalia; Carnivora; Felidae
Exons: 3
Source: RefSeq, a predicted model, not a curated record